This 487-nucleotide ribosomal RNA is filed under the name uncultured bacterium. RNAcentral describes it as "bacterial SSU rRNA". It matches the Rfam family "Bacterial small subunit ribosomal RNA", at positions 28 to 507 of the family's 1533-position model. The record is from RNAcentral.
GAUGAACGCUAGCUACAGGCUUAACACAUGCAAGUCGAGGGGUAGCACGGAGGAAGCUUGCUUCCUUGGGUGACGACCGGCGCACGGGUGAGUAACGCGUAUCCUACCUACCCAUUACUCGGGGCACAGCCGCUCGAAAGAGUGAUUGAUUCCCGAUAUGUCAUUGGAGUAGAUUCAAUGAUGAAAGAUUCAUCGGUAAUGGAUGGGGAUGCGUAAGAUUAGGUAGUAGGCGGGGUAACGGCCCACCUAGCCGACGAUCUUUAGGGGUUCUGAGAGGAAGGUCCCCCACACUGGUACUGAGACACGGACCAGACUCCUACGGGAGGCAGCAGUGAGGAAUAUUGGUCAAUGGUCGGAAGACUGAACCAGCCAAGUAGCGUGAAGGAUGAAGGUUCUAUGGAUUGUAAACUUCUUUUAUACGGGAAUAAAACCUCCCACGUGUGGGAGCUUGUAUGUACCGUAUGAAUAAGCAUCGGCUAACUCCGUG